CCUACGGGAGGCUGCAGUCGGGAAUUUUGGGCAAUGGGCGAAAGCCUGACCCAGCAACGCCGCGUGAGGGAUGAAGUAUUUCGGUAUGUAAACCUCGAAAGAAUAGGAAGAAUAAAUGACGGUACUAUUUAUAAGCUCCGGCUAACUACGUGCCAGCAGCCGCGGUAAUACGUAGGGAGCAAGCGUUGUUCGGAUUUACUGGGCGUAAAGGGCGCGUAGGCGGCCUGACAGGUCACUUGUGAAAUCUCCGAGCUUAACUCGGAACGGUCAAGUGAAACCAAUAGGCUAGAGUGCAGAAGGGGCAAUCGGAAUUCUUGGUGUAGCGGUGAAAUGCGUAGAUAUCAAGAGGAACACCUGAGGUGAAGACGGGUUGCUGGGCUGACACUGACGCUGAGGCGCGAAAGCCAGGGGAGCAAACGGGAUUAGAUACCCUUGUAGUC
RNAcentral lists this ribosomal RNA (440 nucleotides) under uncultured bacterium. Its description in RNAcentral is "partial 16S ribosomal RNA". It matches the Rfam family "Bacterial small subunit ribosomal RNA", at positions 338 to 795 of the family's 1533-position model. The record is from RNAcentral.